RNAcentral lists this ribosomal RNA (449 nucleotides) under uncultured bacterium. RNAcentral describes it as "partial 16S ribosomal RNA". It matches the Rfam family "Bacterial small subunit ribosomal RNA", at positions 29 to 523 of the family's 1533-position model. The record is from RNAcentral.
AGCGAACGCUGGCGGCAGGCCUAACACAUGCAAGUCGAACGAAGUCUUCGGACUUAGUGGCGGACGGGUGAGUAACACGUGGGAACGUGCCUUUAGGUUCGGAAUAACUCAGGGAAACUUGUGCUGAUGCCGAAUGUGCCCUUCGGGGGAAAGAUUUAUCGCCUUUAGAGCGGCCCGCGUCUGAUUAGCUAGUUGGUGAGGUAAAGGCUCUCCACGGCGACGAUCAGUAGCUGGUCUGAGAGGAUGAUCAGCCACAUUGGGACUGAGACCCGGCCCAAACUCCUACGGGAGGCAGCAGUGGGGAAUCUUGCGCAAUGGGCGAAAGCCUGACGCAGCCAUGCCGCGUGAAUGAUGAAGGUCUUAGGAUCGUAAAAUUCUUUCACCGGGGACGAUAAUGACGGUACCCGGAGAAGAAGCCCCGGCUAACUUCGUGCCAGCCGCCGCGGUAA